UUAGCCUACGGGGCGCAGCAGUGAGGAAUAUUGGUCAAUGGGCGGAAGCCUGAACCAGCCAAGUCGCGUGAGGGAUUAAGGCCCUAUGGGUCGUAAACCUCUUUUGUCAGGGAGCAAGGCCUCUCACGUGUGGGAGGUUGGAGAGUACCUGAAGAAAAAGCAUCGGCUAACUCCGUGCCAGCAGCCGCGGUAAUACGGAGGAUGCGAGCGUUAUCCGGAUUUAUUGGGUUUAAAGGGUGCGUAGGCGGGACGGUAAGUCAGCGGUAAAAAUGCAGAGCUCAACUCCGUCGAGCCGUUGAAACUGC
RNAcentral lists this ribosomal RNA (305 nucleotides) under uncultured bacterium. Its description in RNAcentral is "bacterial SSU rRNA". It matches the Rfam family "Bacterial small subunit ribosomal RNA", at positions 333 to 636 of the family's 1533-position model. The record is from RNAcentral.